This 216-nucleotide long non-coding RNA is filed under the name Lathyrus oleraceus (garden pea). Its description in RNAcentral is "Pisum sativum (pea) long non-coding RNA (PSAT_LNC041266)". Lineage: Eukaryota; Viridiplantae; Streptophyta; Magnoliopsida; Fabales; Fabaceae. The record is from RNAcentral.
CAACUUUGUUGGAGAGAAAUGAAUCAACUCUGCUAGGGGAAAGCAAAGGGAAACCUGUCGGGGAUAGCCCAAUUAAUCCAUGAAAAAUUCCGCUUGGGGAAAUAAAAAAUCCGCUGGGGAAGCUAAACCAGGCGACUCUUUGGGGAUGAGGCUUCAUGCAAACCUCAAAUAAAACAGACUGCUUUGGGGAAUAACUGCUACUCCGCCGGGGACGAC